CGUAGGGUGCGAGCGUUAAUCGGAAUUACUGGGCGUAAAGCGUGCGCAGGCGGUUUUGUAAGACAGGCGUGAAAUCCCCGGGCUCAACCUGGGAACUGCGCUUGUGACUGCAAGGCUAGAGUACGGCAGAGGGGGGUGGAAUUCCACGUGUAGCAGUGAAAUGCGUAGAGAUGUGGAGGAACACCAAUGGCGAAGGCAGCCCCCUGGGUCGAUACUGACGCUCAUGCACGAAAGCGUGGGUAGCAAACAGGAUUAGAUACCCUGGUAGUCCACGCCCUAAACGAUGUCAACUAGGUGUUGGGUGGGUAAAAACCAUUUAGUACCGGAGCUAACGCGUGAAGUUGACCGCCUGGGGAUACGGCCGCAAGGUUA
RNAcentral lists this ribosomal RNA (372 nucleotides) under uncultured organism. Its description in RNAcentral is "bacterial SSU rRNA". It matches the Rfam family "Bacterial small subunit ribosomal RNA", at positions 526 to 896 of the family's 1533-position model. The record is from RNAcentral.